GACGAACGCUGGCGGCGUGCCUAAUACAUGCAAGUUGAGCGCUGAAGGUUGGUACUUGUACCAACUGGAUGAGCAGCGAACGGGUGAGUAACGCGUGGGGAAUCUGCCUUUGAGCGGGGGACAACAUUUGGAAACGAAUGCUAAUACCGCAUAAAAACUUUAAACACAAGUUUUAAGUUUGAAAGAUGCAAUUGCAUCACUCAAAGAUGAUCCCGCGUUGUAUUAGCUAGUUGGUGAGGUAAAGGCUCACCAAGGCGAUGAUACAUAGCCGACCUGAGAGGGUGAUAGGCCACAUUGGGACUGAGACACGGCCCAAACUCCUACGGGAGGCAGCAGUAGGGAAAAUUCGGCAAUGGAGGAAAGUCUGACCGAGAAACGCCGCGUGAGUGAAGAAGGGUGUCGGAUCGUAAAAAUCUGUUGGUAGGGAAGAACGAUGGUGAGAGUGGAAAGCUCAUCAAGUGACGGUAACUACCCAGAAAAGGACGGCUAAAUACGUG
RNAcentral lists this ribosomal RNA (497 nucleotides) under uncultured bacterium. Its description in RNAcentral is "partial 16S ribosomal RNA". It matches the Rfam family "Bacterial small subunit ribosomal RNA", at positions 28 to 507 of the family's 1533-position model. The record is from RNAcentral.